RNAcentral lists this ribosomal RNA (507 nucleotides) under uncultured Burkholderia sp. RNAcentral describes it as "bacterial SSU rRNA". It matches the Rfam family "Bacterial small subunit ribosomal RNA", at positions 192 to 680 of the family's 1533-position model. The record is from RNAcentral. Lineage: Bacteria; Pseudomonadati; Pseudomonadota; Betaproteobacteria; Burkholderiales; Burkholderiaceae.
AUUUGAGGAUGAAAGCGGGGGACCUUCGGGCCUCGCGCUAUAGGGUUGGCCGAUGGCUGAUUAGCUAGUUGGUGGGGUAAAGGCCUACCAAGGCGACGAUCAGUAGCUGGUCUGAGAGGACGACCAGCCACACUGGGACUGAGACACGGCCCANACUCCUACGGGAGGCAGCAGUGGGGAAUUUUGGACAAUGGGCGAAAGCCUGAUCCAGCAAUGCCGCGUGUGUGAAGAAGGCCUUCGGGUUGUAAAGCACUUUUGUCCGGAAAGAAAUCCUUGGUUCUAAUAUAGCCGGGGGAUGACGGUACCGGAAGAAUAAGCACCGGCUAACUACGUGCCAGCAGCCGCGGUAAUACGUAGGGUGCAAGCGUUAAUCGGAAUUACUGGGCGUAAAGCGUGCGCAGGCGGUUUGCUAAGACCGAUGUGAAAUCCCCGGGCUCAACCUGGGAACUGCAUUGGUGACUGGCAGGCUAGAGUAUGGCAGANGGGGGUAGAAUUCCACGUGUAGCA